GGUCGGAUGGUCUAAACGUGGUCAGGACGUUUAGCUUCGUAAGCUGAAGACGCGGGUUCGAUUCCCGCUUCGGCCA
Molecule: non-coding RNA, 76 nt
Organism: Cydia pomonella (codling moth)
Lineage: Eukaryota; Metazoa; Arthropoda; Insecta; Lepidoptera; Tortricidae
Source: the annotation of a RefSeq genome assembly